AGCUGUUUUUGGACUACAGUUCCCAUCAUCCCUGACCACUGGCCCUGCUGGCUAGGGGUGAUGGGAGUUGUAGUCCAAAAACAGCU
Molecule: microRNA precursor, 86 nt
Filed under: Podarcis lilfordi (Lilford's wall lizard)
Lineage: Eukaryota; Metazoa; Chordata; Lepidosauria; Squamata; Lacertidae
Source: RNAcentral